Molecule: RNA transcript, 1916 nt
Organism: Dioscorea cayenensis subsp. rotundata (Guinea yam)
Lineage: Eukaryota; Viridiplantae; Streptophyta; Magnoliopsida; Dioscoreales; Dioscoreaceae
Gene name: tubulin gamma-2 chain-like
Exons: 12
Source: RefSeq, a predicted model, not a curated record
CAGACACCCAAAAAAAGAAAGAGAGAGAGAGUGUGUGUGUGAGAGAGAGAGAGAGAAACCCUAAACGAGAGCUGCUCAAACCCUAGAGAGAGUGGGAGAGAGAGAGCUCUUUCGCUUGCUUGGUUUCGGGAUCGGAUCGAAGGUAUGCCGCGCGAGAUCAUCACGAUCCAGGUGGGACAAUGCGGGAACCAGAUCGGCAUGGAGUUUUGGAAGCAACUUUGCCUCGAGCACGGCAUUGGCAAGGAUGGUCUCCUCGAGGACUUCGCCACUCAGGGAGGUGACAGGAAAGAUGUUUUCUUCUACCAGGCCGAUGACCAGCAUUACAUUCCGAGAGCUCUUUUGAUGGACUUGGAACCUCGAGUUAUUAACGGGAUACAGAACAGUGAGUAUAGAAAUCUAUAUAAUCACGAAAACAUAUUUCUCUCUGAUCAUGGAGGAGGCGCUGGAAAUAAUUGGGCAAGCGGAUAUCACCAGGGGGAGCAAGUUGUUGAUGAUAUUAUGGAUAUGAUAGAUAGAGAAGCAGAUGGAAGUGAUAGCCUUGAGGGUUUUGUUCUCUGCCAUUCAAUAGCUGGUGGAACUGGAUCAGGAAUGGGAUCGUAUUUACUAGAAACUCUUAACGAACGCUACAGCAAGAAACUUGUCCAGACAUAUAGUGUGUUUCCAAACCAAAUGGAAACAAGUGAUGUGGUGGUUCAGCCUUACAACUCACUGUUGACUCUGAAACGACUUGCAGUGAAUGCAGAUUGUGUUGUUGUUCUUGACAACACAGCACUAAACAGGAUUGCUGUUGAACGUCUUCAUUUAAGCAAUCCUACUUUUGCACAAACAAAUUCGUUGGUGUCGACUGUUAUGUCUGCAAGCACAACCACUCUACGUUAUCCAGGAUAUAUGAAUAAUGAUUUGGUCGGCCUUCUUGCCUCAUUGAUUCCCACUCCAAGAUGCCAUUUUCUAAUGACUGGUUAUACACCAUUGACAGUGGAACGUCAGGUUAAUGUGAUUCGUAAAACUACUGUACUUGAUGUUAUGAGGAGACUUUUGCAGGCAAAGAAUAUCAUGGUUUCUUCCUAUGCCCGUACAAAAGAAGCUAGCCAAGCAAAAUAUAUCUCAAUAUUAAACAUCAUUCAAGGAGAAGUGGACCCUACCCAGGUGCAUGAAAGCUUGCAAAGAAUACGUGAAAGAAAGCUUGUAAAUUUUAUUGAAUGGGGACCUGCUAGCAUCCAGGUUGCUUUAUCCAGAAAGUCACCAUAUGUCCAAACUGCUCAUAGAGUUAGUGGCCUCAUGCUAGCAAACCAUACCAGCAUAAGACACCUCUUCAGCAAAUGUCUGAACCAAUAUGAGAAGCUGAGGAAGAAGCAAGCUUUCCUCGACAAUUAUCGCAAGUUUCCAAUGUUUGCAGAUAACGAUCUUUCGGAAUUUGAUGAAUCUCAUGAAAUAAUUGAAAGCUUGGUUGAUGAAUACAAGGCUUGUGAAUCACCAGACUAUAUCAAGUGGGGAAUGGAGAAGGAUAUGGACACCACUUUGCCAGGAGAAGCAAGUCUAUCUGGAGCACUGGAUGCAAAACUCAAUUUGUAGAACAUGUAUGCUACCUAAGUGUUCAAACCUUUAUCACAACCCUUUUUUUAUGCAGUGUAUCUGGCUUUGUGAUUCAGACAUUUGGAAUGCAGAGGAACUGAGAAUAGAGAAUAUCAUCAUCAACAUGCUGUUUUGCCCAGCCUUUGUCACUGUUGUAUGGUGAACAUCUGGUGAGAUUUUGUUUUACAAAUGCAUAUGUAAGUUGUACAUAUAUUAUCUAUCACAUUAGAUUUUUACUACCAUUCAGACCGGCAAAGGUUUCUUAUACUGUGCAUAGGAUGAACAUUACCAACUACUACUGUAGAAGUUCGAGGGAGAAUUUUUAAUCUAUUGUCACUUGUUUC